GCCAGGUGUGGUGGUGCAUGCCUGUAAUCCUGGUGGCUCAGGAGGCUGAGACAGGAGGAUCUCUAGUUCAAAGCCAGCCUCAGCAAAAGUGAGGGUGCUAAGCAAUUCAGUGAGACCCUGUCUCUA
Molecule: small RNA, 126 nt
Filed under: Marmota monax (woodchuck)
Lineage: Eukaryota; Metazoa; Chordata; Mammalia; Rodentia; Sciuridae
Source: RNAcentral